UAACUACUCCCUCUGUUCGAAAAUACUUGUCAUCAAAAUGAAUAAAAAAUGAUGUAUUUAGAUGUAUUUUAGUUCUAGAUAUAUCUUUUUUAUCUAUUUUGAUGACAAGUAUUUUCGGACGGAGGAAGUACUUU
Non-coding RNA from Triticum aestivum (bread wheat), 134 nucleotides. The record is from Rfam. NCBI's taxonomy places the organism in Eukaryota, Viridiplantae, Streptophyta, Magnoliopsida, Poales, Poaceae.